This 277-nucleotide ribosomal RNA is filed under the name uncultured bacterium. RNAcentral describes it as "partial 16S ribosomal RNA". It matches the Rfam family "Bacterial small subunit ribosomal RNA", at positions 28 to 296 of the family's 1533-position model. The record is from RNAcentral.
GGUGAACGCUGGCGGCGUGCCUAACACAUGCAAGUCGAGCGAUCGGCCAGGGAGGGGUAACCCGCCCUGGUACGGAGCGGCGAACGGGUGAGUAACACGUGGGCAACCUACCCCAGGCACCGGGAUAACCCCCGGAAACGGGGGCUAAUACCGGAUACGCUCCCGGGACCGCAUGGCCCCGGGAGGAAAGCUGCGGCGGCCUGGGAUGGGCCCGCGGCCCAUCAGCUUGUUGGUGGGGUAACGGCCCACCAAGGCGACGACGGGUAGCUGGCGUGAG